This 429-nucleotide ribosomal RNA is filed under the name Pseudomonadota bacterium. RNAcentral describes it as "Proteobacteria bacterium partial 16S ribosomal RNA". It matches the Rfam family "Bacterial small subunit ribosomal RNA", at positions 355 to 776 of the family's 1533-position model. The record is from RNAcentral. Lineage: Bacteria; Pseudomonadati; Pseudomonadota.
UGGGGAAUAUUGGACAAUGGGCGAAAGCCUGAUCCAGCCAUGCCGCGUGUGUGAAGAAGGUCUUCGGAUUGUAAAGCACUUUAAGUUGGGAGGAAGGGCAGUAAGCGAAUACCUUGCUGUUUUGACGUUACCGACAGAAUAAGCACCGGCUAACUCUGUGCCAGCAGCCGCGGUAAUACAGAGGGUGCAAGCGUUAAUCGGAAUUACUGGGCGUAAAGCGCGCGUAGGUGGUUCGUUAAGUUGAAUGUGAAAGCCCCGGGCUCAACCUGGGAACUGCAUCCAGAACUGGCGAGCUAGAGUAGAGCAGAGGGUGGUGGAAUUUCCUGUGUAGCGGUGAAAUGCGUAGAUAUAGGAAGGAACACCAGUGGCGAAGGCGACAACCUGGGCUCAUACUGACACUGAGGUGCGAAAGCGUGGGGAGCAAACAGG